AUGAUCGCGCUGGCCGCGUUAGUCUCGGUCCUCCUCCUCCUCGCCGGCAACGUGCUCCUUGACGCCGACAUGAACGGCAAGCUCAGCGACUUCGGCCUCGCGCGGCUCUACGACCACGGCGGCGACCCGCAGACGACGCGCGUGGUGGGCACGCUCGGGUACAUCGCGCCGGAGAUGAGCAAGACCGGCAAGGCCAGCACGAGCUCCGACGUCUUCGCCUUCGGAGCCUUCCUGCUGGAGGUGGCGUGCGGCCGGAGGCCCGUGGUAUUCAGCAACAACGAUUCCGAAGACUCGCCGCCGUCGCCGGGGCUCGUGGAGCUCGUCCUGGAGCACUGGAAGGCCGGGAAGAUCACGGAGGCGAGGGACCCGAGGAUGGGCAAGUGCGACGAGGACGAUCUCGAGCUGGUCCUCAAGCUCGGGCUGCUCUGCUCGCAUCCCGACCCGUUGCGGCGGCCGGGCAUGAGGCAGGUGGUGCAGAUGCUGGAAGGCGCGGCACCGGCGCCAGAGACGUCGCCGGAGGAUCUUGGAAACAGCAUGACGCUGUUCGAGCACAGCGAGGCGUUCGACGGGUUCGUCGGAGUGUCGUUCCCGUCGACGUCAGGGUUCACCACCGCCACCAUGCGGACGUCGGCGUCGAACUCCCCUGACGAGAAACGGCAGCUCCUCUUCAGCUGA
RNAcentral lists this ribosomal RNA (675 nucleotides) under Triticum aestivum (bread wheat). RNAcentral describes it as "partial small subunit ribosomal RNA". The record is from RNAcentral. Lineage: Eukaryota; Viridiplantae; Streptophyta; Magnoliopsida; Poales; Poaceae.